AUUGAACGCUGGCGGAAUGCUUUACACAUGCAAGUCGAAUGGCAGCACGGACUUCGGUCUGGUGGCGAGUGGCAAACGGGUGAGUAAUGUGUCGGAACGUGCCCAGUCGUGGGGGAUAACGUAGUGAAAAUUACGCUAAUACCGCAUACGAUCUAUGGAUGAAAGCGGGGGAUCGCAAGACCUCGCGCGAUUGGAUCGGCCGAUAUCAGAUUAGGUAGUUGGUGGGGUAAAGGCCCACCAAGCCAACGAUCUGUAGCUGGUCUGAGAGGACGACCAGCCACACUGGAACUGAGGCACGGUCCAGACUCCUACGGGAGGCAGCAGUGGGGAAUUUUGGACAAUGGGCGAAAGCCUGAUCCAGCCAUUCCGCAUGCAGGAUGAAGGCCCUCGGGUUGUAAACUGCUUUUGUACAGAACGAAAAGGUUUCUACUAAUACUAGGAGCUCAUGACGGUACUGUAAGAAUAAGCACCGGCUAACUACGUGCCAGCCGCCGCAGUAA
Molecule: ribosomal RNA, 500 nt
Filed under: uncultured bacterium
Lineage: Bacteria
Description: partial 16S ribosomal RNA
Rfam family: Bacterial small subunit ribosomal RNA
Source: RNAcentral